GAAAAGAUUGUCUUUUAGCUUUUAAAGGAAAAAGAGAAAAUAGAUAUUGUUAGGUAUCUGGAAUAAAUGAGUUCCUGAAGUGAAGAUUUAGAUUUGUCCCAGAGUCUCCAAGCAGCUUGGGCAAAAGGGAAAUAUUUUGGUUGAUGCAGUUUUUACUUUUUGUCAUGAGGAAGCUUAGGGCAGUGGUUCUCAAAGUGAAGUCCCUGGACCAGUGGUGUCAGCAUCCCCUGAGAACUACCUAGAAAUGCAGAUUUCUUAGGCUCCUCCUCAGGCCCACUGCCUUAGAAACUCUGGGGGUGAUUCUGAUUCACACUGAAAUCUGAGAACCACUGGCUUUGGAAUUUGCACACGGAGGUUUGCCCUGAAUUCUGCCCUGAAUGGGAGCUUACCAUUAGCAGUCUUGUUCGUAAAACAGAGGAUAAUAAGGUGAGUGGAAGUUUUCAUUAUUGUUCUUUAAUAAAAAGCACUGAUAACAGUGGAGCAAGUUGGUCGUUUCUUUCGGCCAUUGGCUCUGGCAUGCGCUGGAGGCAGAGAUGCUGAGGGUCCACCCUCGAUAGCCUCUAUGCUGGCUGCUGGUUCCAUCCAGGCCACCACGAACCCGAUCAGGUGGACAGAGUAUCUCUUCUUACUUUAUUGCUUGGAAAAUUGUGGCUCAGGGAGCAAAAGCAGAGCUGUGUUUCAGUCAUCGGCCUGCUGCUUGAGGGCAUCGUAGGGUCACGAUGGGGGUGCAGUGAGAAUGCUUGUACAGAUGUUUACAGCUCUCAAGCAAUACUGCAUGUGGGUGCCCUCACUGUGGCUUGAGACAUCAGAUUGUGUCAGCUUGGUUUGGUUUGCAUGCCUGGGAACUGUGUUGUCCUGGUGGUCAGCUACCUGCCUAAUAGCAGGUUACCGGGAAACCACGUGAAGCAAUAAAAUGCAACAGCAAGGUAUGGAUUACGUAACAGGCAGGCUGAGUGGUUCUGAAGGAUUCUGUGCUGUGGGCCUGAUGCUUUGCAUUGUGAAUCCUGUUUCUGACGCCCCAGGGCCCAUGGAGAACGGCCAGGGGGUAGAGUGCCCAUGUGAUGAAUGCCAGCCAACAGUGUACUUGCGGUGCCUUCACCUUGCAAGCAGGGUUCUUUUGUAAUUAGCUCUCGAAUGACACCAACCCUGCCCCCAAAAUGGGUGCUCUGCAGUGAUUAAGGGCUGGUGUUAGCUGUACCAGGGAGAUACCGCUGUGGGAGGGGCCUGUUUGGUGCCUGUGAAACAUUAGAUGCUAUUUAAAGUGAUAGCAGUUUUUAGCUGGCUACUUGGCCUCUGCCAUCUGUUAGUGUGAUUAGGCUGGUCUGAUUCACAGGUGCAGCCUGGGGCGGCUGAGAUUAAGCAGCUGUGGCCUGUGUGGACAGAGGAAUGCCAUGGCCGGGGUAAUUGGCAAGGCGGGAAAGGGGACGUUGCCAUUAAAACAAUUUUUUGCCACCUCAAGUGUCAAAUGCUGACCCGAUUAAUAGGGAAAAUUGCAGAAGCACCAAAUUCCUUGCAUUUUCAGCCACCUGGAAAAUACCCAUAUGUCCAGAUCGGUUUCUUUGCUGCCUUCUGAUUGUCUGGAAAUGCCACUGGGGUGUGUUUGAAUGUUUUUCUGUAGGGACAUUGACAAAUGAUGCUCCAGUGACCCUGUGUUGAUGGUGACAUUUUUGGGCUUUUCAAAGGUUUUUUUUUUGGAUUGAGACAUUGAAAAUUUAGUUCUGUAUCUUCCAGUUGGAAAAACAUAUUACAGGUUAUUCCCUCUGCUGAUAAGCUAGAUUACUGAUCUGGUGGUUAAUAUAAGAAGUCAAGCUCAGCUGCCUGCUAGAGUUCUUUUUAGAUUCUGUACAGAGUGCAAAAAGCUUGGGCGCCAAAUGCA
Sapajus apella (tufted capuchin) is the source of this 1876-nucleotide long non-coding RNA. RefSeq lists it as uncharacterized. The record is from RefSeq and is a predicted model, not a curated record. Lineage: Eukaryota; Metazoa; Chordata; Mammalia; Primates; Cebidae. The transcript is spliced from 2 exons.